UGGCCAAAAUGUUUGUUCGUGUUUUUCCAUAAGACGUUAAGGGAAAAACCUGAACGAACCUUUUGGCCAA
This 70-nucleotide microRNA precursor is filed under the name Tursiops truncatus (common bottlenose dolphin). RNAcentral's name for it is "miRNA (ENSTTRG00000024571.1)". Lineage: Eukaryota; Metazoa; Chordata; Mammalia; Artiodactyla; Delphinidae. The record is from RNAcentral.